AUAAACUUUUUUUCGAAAGAAAAAAUCUGUUCUUAUCAGUUUAAUAUCUGAUACGUCCCCUACCCGGGGACCAUAUAUUAAAUUGAUUUUUGGAGCAGGGAGAUGGAAUAGGGGCUUGCUCCGUCCACUCCACGCAUCGACCUGGUAUUGCAGAACCUCCAGGACCGGUGCACCCCCU
Molecule: small nuclear RNA, 178 nt
Filed under: Poecilia reticulata (guppy)
Lineage: Eukaryota; Metazoa; Chordata; Actinopteri; Cyprinodontiformes; Poeciliidae
Description: U2 spliceosomal RNA (ENSPREG00000009174.1)
Rfam family: U2 spliceosomal RNA
About the family: U2 is a small nuclear RNA (snRNA) component of the spliceosome (involved in pre-mRNA splicing). Complementary binding between U2 snRNA (in an area lying towards the 5' end but 3' to hairpin I) and the branchpoint sequence (BPS) of the intron results the bulging out of an unpaired adenosine, on the BPS, which initiates a nucleophilic attack at the intronic 5' splice site, thus starting the first of two transesterification reactions that mediate splicing.
Source: Rfam by way of RNAcentral